GACGAACGCUGGCGGCGUGCUUAACACAUGCAAGUCGAACGGAAGGCCCCUUCGGGGGUACUCGAGUGGCGAACGGGUGAGUAACACGUGAGUAACCUGCCCUUGACUUCGGGAUAACUUCAGGAAACUGGGGCUAAUACCGGAUAGGAAUCCUUGCUGCAUGGUGGGGGUUGGAAAGCUUCGGCGGUUUUGGAUGGACUCGCGGCUUAUCAGCUUGUUGGUGGGGUAGUGGCUUACCAAGGCUUUGACGGGUAGCCGGCCUGAGAGGGCGACCGGCCACAUUGGGACUGAGAUACGGCCCAGACUCCUACGGGAGGCAGCAGGGGGGAAUAUUGCACAAUGGGCGGAAGCCUGAUGCAGCAACGCCGCGGGCGGGAGGACGGCCUUCGGGUUGUAAACCGCGUUCAGCAGGGGCGAAGCUUGUGGUGACGGUACCUGCAGAAGAAGCACCGGCUAACUACGUG
This 464-nucleotide ribosomal RNA is filed under the name uncultured bacterium. Its description in RNAcentral is "partial 16S ribosomal RNA". It matches the Rfam family "Bacterial small subunit ribosomal RNA", at positions 28 to 507 of the family's 1533-position model. The record is from RNAcentral.